Molecule: ribosomal RNA, 495 nt
Filed under: Osphronemus goramy (giant gourami)
Lineage: Eukaryota; Metazoa; Chordata; Actinopteri; Anabantiformes; Osphronemidae
Description: partial 12S ribosomal RNA
Rfam family: Bacterial small subunit ribosomal RNA
Source: RNAcentral
UACCCAUCGAUAGCUCAUUACCCCCACUAUCCGCCCGGGAACUACGAGCAUUAGCUUAAAACCCAAAGGACUUGGCGGUGCUUAAGAUCCACCUAGAGGAGCCUGUUCUAGAACCGAUAACCCCCGUUCAACCUCACCCUCCCUUGUCUCCCCCGCCUAUAUACCGCCGUCGUCAGCUUACCCUGUGAAGGCCUAAUAGUAAGCAAAAUUGGCAUAGCCUAAAACGUCAGGUCGAGGUGUAGCGCAUGAGAGGGAAAGAAAUGGGCUACAUUCCCUAACAUAGUGAAUACGAAUAAUGAACUGAAACAUUCAUUUGAAGGAGGAUUUAGCAGUAAGCAGAAAAUAGAGCGUCCUGCUGAAACUGGCCCUAAAGCGCGCACACACCGCCCGUCACUCUCCCCAAGCUAUUAACUACACAUCUCUAAUACCCUAUAACUGCAAAGGGGAGGCAAGUCGUAACAUGGUAAGUGUACCGGAAGGUGUGCUUGGAAAAAU